RNAcentral lists this ribosomal RNA (210 nucleotides) under uncultured bacterium. RNAcentral's name for it is "partial 16S ribosomal RNA". It matches the Rfam family "Bacterial small subunit ribosomal RNA", at positions 1291 to 1500 of the family's 1533-position model. The record is from RNAcentral.
GUUCGGAUUGUAGGCUGCAACUCGCCUACAUGAAGUCGGAAUCGCUAGUAAUCGCGGAUCAGCAUGCCGCGGUGAAUACGUUCCCGGGCCUUGUACACACCGCCCGUCACACCAUGAGAGUUUGUAACACCCAAAGCCGGUGGGGUAACCUUUUGGAGCCAGCCGUCUAAGGUGGGACAGAUGAUUGGGGUGAAGUCGUAACAAGGUACC